Molecule: ribosomal RNA, 647 nt
Filed under: uncultured bacterium
Lineage: Bacteria
Description: bacterial SSU rRNA
Rfam family: Bacterial small subunit ribosomal RNA
Source: RNAcentral
GUAAUAUAUCGGAACGUGCCCAGUCGUGGGGGAUAACGUAGCGAAAGUUACGCUAAUACCGCAUACGAUCUAAGGAUGAAAGCGGGGGACCGUAAGGCCUCGCGCGAUUGGAGCGGCCGAUAUCAGAUUAGGUAGUUGGUGGGGUAAAGGCUCACCAAGCCAACGAUCUGUAGCUGGUCUGAGAGGACGACCAGCCACACUGGAACUGAGACACGGUCCAGACUCCUACGGGAGGCAGCAGUAGGGAAUUUUGGACAAUGGACGCAAGUCUGAUCCAGCCAUUCCGCGUGCAGGAUGAAGGCCCUCGGGUUGUAAACUGCUUUUGUACGGAACGAAAAGGUCUCUCUUAAUACGAGGGGCUCAUGACGGUACCGUAAGAAUAAGCACCGGCUAACUACGUGCCAGCAGCCGCGGUAAUACGUAGGGUGCAAGCGUUAAUCGGAAUUACUGGGCGUAAAGCGUGCGCAGGCGGUUAUGUAAGACAGAGGUGAAAUCCCCGGGCUCAACCUGGGAACUGCCUUUGUGACUGCAUAGCUAGAGUACGGUAGAGGGGGAUGGAAUUCCGCGUGUAGCAGUGAAAUGCGUAGAUAUGCGGAGGAACACCGAUGGCGAAGGCAAUCCCCUGGACCUUUACUGACGCUCAUGCA